This is a long non-coding RNA of Gallus gallus (chicken), 596 nucleotides long. Lineage: Eukaryota; Metazoa; Chordata; Aves; Galliformes; Phasianidae. The record is from Ensembl.
AGCAGCUUCAUCCUGCUGAAAGUGAUCAGAAAGUCUUGGUUGUGAAAAAGCUUCUCUGAAGUCUUCUUACUUUUUUCUCCUUCCUACCAGAAUUUGCAACUGAACUCCUUACUAAAAUCACACGCAGCAGUGAUUUCCAGGAAUGCAGUGAUGUCCAGGAAGGCACUGAUGUCCAGGAAGGACCAUAUUCCAUGGUCUUUGGAGAGAUCUUGUCGUUACUUGCCUGCUGAAUUUAGGAUCUUUGUUACCUUAAUCCUAAAUAAAACUGCUCUUAAAACGUCAUUCAAGGCCCUUUUUCAGUAUUUGUUUACCCUGAGCUGUUCUGAGGUUCUUACAAGACAUGUACACCUUUGUGCAAGUGGAAAACAUGAUUUAUUUGUAUGUCUCCUGGAUUCUUCUGUCUUGACAUGCUCCUUGAUGCAGCCUUUGAUUAUUUCAACUUAUGAACAGUCAAGAGUCCAAUGUUAAGGAAUUAUUAUACAGCAAAAAUAAUAACAAAUGAAUGAGUAGAAUUUCAGCUGUGAUCCAGAUCAGUUCUACAGCUUGAACCACCUGUAAUAUAUCCAGACUGGGAAUGGAAAUAACAAAAAGAGCUG